GACGAACGCUGGCGGCGUGCUUAACACAUGCAAGUCGAACGGAAAGGCCCUGCUUUUGUGGGGUGCUCGAGUGGCGAACGGGUGAGUAACACGUGAGUAACCUGCCCUUGACUUUGGGAUAACUUCAGGAAACUGGGGCUAAUACCGGAUAGGAGCUCCUGCUGCAUGGUGGGGGUUGGAAAGUUUCGGCGGUUGGGGAUGGACUCGCGGCUUAUCAGCUUGUUGGUGGGGUAGUGGCUUACCAAGGCUUUGACGGGUAGCCGGCCUGAGAGGGUGACCGGCCACAUUGGGACUGAGAUACGGCCCAGACUCCUACGGGACGCAGCAGUGGGGAAUAUUGCACAAUGGGCGGAAGCCUGAUGCAGCAACGCCGCGUGCGGGAUGACGGCCUUCGGGUUGUAUACCGCUUUCGCCUGUGACGAAGCGUGAGUGACGGUAAUGGGUAAAGAAGCACCGGCUAACUACGUG
RNAcentral lists this ribosomal RNA (468 nucleotides) under uncultured bacterium. RNAcentral's name for it is "partial 16S ribosomal RNA". It matches the Rfam family "Bacterial small subunit ribosomal RNA", at positions 28 to 507 of the family's 1533-position model. The record is from RNAcentral.